Molecule: ribosomal RNA, 301 nt
Filed under: uncultured bacterium
Lineage: Bacteria
Description: partial 16S ribosomal RNA
Rfam family: Bacterial small subunit ribosomal RNA
Source: RNAcentral
CAGUAGCCGCGGUAAUACGAAGGGUGCAAGCGUUAAUCGGAAUUACUGGGCGUAAAGCGUGCGUAGGCGGUUUGUUAAGUCAGAUGUGAAAUCCCCGAGCUUAACUUGGGAACUGCAUUUGAAACUGGCAAGCUAGAGUCUUGUAGAGGGGGGUAGAAUUCCAGGUGUAGCGGUGAAAUGCGUAGAGAUCUGGAGGAAUACCGGUGGCGAAGGCGGCCCCCUGGACAAAGACUGACGCACAGGUGCGAAAGCGUGGGGAGCAAACAGGAUUAGAUACCCGAGUAGUCCCUGUCUCUUAUAC